Long non-coding RNA from Homo sapiens (human), 2338 nucleotides. The record is from Ensembl. NCBI's taxonomy places the organism in Eukaryota, Metazoa, Chordata, Mammalia, Primates, Hominidae.
GUAACGCCCGGCCCUGCCCCCAGCAGAGGCGGAAGCGGUGUCGCUCUGAGGGGUCGCCAGUCGCCGCAGGCGCUUCAGCCCAGCGGCGGGCCUUGGCCCUUGGCUGCCUACUCCUACCGCCCCAGCCCCGGGCGGCCCUGGGCCUGCUGCGGGCGCGGCGCUGCCCGACCAGAGCUUCCUGUGGAACGUCUUCCAGAGGGUCGAUAAAGACAGGAGUGGAGUGAUAUCAGACACCGAGCUUCAGCAAGCUCUCUCCAACGGACAAAGGAAUCAUUAGGACAAAUUGUUAAUACUGCUUCAUGGUGGAGAUGCUUCUGGUUUAUUUUGUGGCUACCGCUGUUACUGCUUGGAGUGCCUCACCGAGCCAGGAUGAAGCCCCACCCGCCCUUCAGGAUGCCAGCCUUGGCAACAUCGUGAGACCCUGUUUCUACAAAAACUAAACAAGUGUAGUGGUGCACGCCUGUAUUCCCAGCUACUUGGGAGGCUGAGAUGGGAAGAUCACUUGAGCCUGGGAGGUUGAGGCUGCAUUGAGCUGAGAUCAAGCCACGGCACUCCAGCCUGGGAGACAGAGCGAAACCCCAUCUCAAAAAAACAAAGAAAGUGGAUGCGUGCUGCUCCUGCCAUUGGAUCAUCGCAGCAUUUUUCUUUUCUCUGAUAUGCGCCUUUUUCCUCAUCGUGGGGGCUCAUGUUUUCGUAAUUCCCUCUCGCUACUAGAUUGUGAGCUGUGUGAAGGAAGGUUCAUAGUUGAGUUGUAUGUACAGGCACACAAAAUUUGUCCUUGGAUAGACACAUAUCAAUCCACUUCCUUCUCCUCUCUGAAUUUCUUUAUUUAAAAAAAAAAGUAGAGAUGGAGUCUCACUGUCUUGCCCAGGCUGGUGUCAAACUCCUAGGCUCAAGUGAUCCUCCCACCUCUACUAAUAUGAAUUAUUAGGCUAUGCUAAUAUGAAUUUGUAUACUAAUAUGAUUGAAAUUAGUUUGACUUCUAUAAUAAUUGUUCUCCCAGAUUGGGCUUCUGUUUUGAUAGUAGAACUAAAUUAUUAGGCUAUUUCAAGAAAUUAAUAUAUUACUGGUAGAAAAACUGAAGCUACAAAAUGGCCUGGUUUCUCACUUCAGUUAAAUUUGUGCUUCUGAGUGCUUGUAUUCUAGGUGAAACCGCACUGAGAAGGUAUUUGUGGCCUAUACGCUGAUUCAUUGAUUAGACUUCUUUGCACAGGAGAGCUGCUAAAAAUUACUGCGGUGAACAGAUGGAGGCCCAUUGAGGCUUCUCUGUCCUCCACGGGGAACAGCAUUGGCCUAAACCUGCAGACACCAUUGCAAAGGGAAUUCAGGCAAACCGGCUGGUGAAGAAUGAUUCCAGCGUGGGGACAGAGGCUGACAUUUCUUGCGCACGUGGACUCCCUUUAAUCCAGUGACUGUCAGGUCGAUCAUAUACUACACUGAAGGCUGGUUACGCUCUUAUGUGCAAUAGAACCUCAAACACAUCGUAACACACCUUUGGAGAAUCCUUACAAGAACACCAAGUUAACAGUUAUCUCUGACCACACUACCUCAGCAAAAAACCAGGAAGAAAAAAUAUUCUUCAACCCUUUUCAGGGACAGAAAGCAUCAUUUCAAAAGUCCAAGAAGGGAAGGUAAGAAUUUCAGAAGUGAAAGUUAUCAUGAAAGGCUAUAAAAGCUUGAGAUGAGUCUGAAAAACAAAUGGAAAAUGAGUCACUUCAGGGCCUCUCCCAGCCUCAAAGCCAAUUAAUUAUUACAUUAGUCAGAGUAAUUUUAAGCCUUCCAAUCCACUCACCCUAGCCACAGGCAACAGUAGCCUCUCCAAGUGUUAAGGGUUUUUUUCCCAAGCCUGCAGGCGGAUGAGCUUUUUACAUGGCAGCCCCUUAGGAUUGGAUGUGGACCUGCCCUGUCUUUCACCAAGAAGCAAGCACUGCGCAGAUCACUGAAUCAUAAAAACCACCUGCUCUUACCAGCCUCCUCUUCCUCUACAGCAAAACUUCUGACCUGAGACAUCGAAGCAGAUAAAAAGCCGCUACACAAAAUGUAUCGCUACAACUAGAGGGCAGUCUUGCCUUUCUUCCAUUCAAUUAUUCAGUUUCUCAUGUUCCUAAGUGCCAGCCCAGAACCAUGGAAUGUGAAGAAACACAAAACUCACUCCUCUGCAUCAGUGAAUUGAUUGUGUGGUGGGGAUGUAAGUCUGCAUGUGACUGACAGUUCCCCAAAGUGGUGCCAAGUCAAUCUAAACUAGAGAGAAUUUCUGGCCAGGCCAAGCAGAGAUUUCAUGGAUGAAGUCUCCCAAAGACUGAUUUCCUAAACAUUAAACAUCACUGGUUUUCCAAAA